UAGGACGAACGCUGGCGGCGUGCUCAUACACGCAAGUCGAACGAGAAGUCACCUUCGGGUGAUGGAAAGUGGCGGACGGGUGAGUAAUGUGUAGAGAAUCUGCCCUAGAGAGAGGGACAACAGUUGGAAACGACUGCUAAUACCUCAUAUGCGCGUAGCUGAGAUGCUAUUCGUGAAAACUCCGGUGCUCUGGGAUGAGUCUGCAUCUGAUUAGCUAGUUGGCGGUGUAAUGGACCACCAAGGCGACGAUCAGUAGCUGGUUUGAGAGGAUGAUCAGCCACAAUGGGACUGAGACACGGCCCAUACUCCUACGGGAGGCAGCAGUAGGGAAUUUUGCGCAAUGGGGGAAACCCUGAACCGCAGCAACGCCGCGUGAUUGAAUAAGCCCUUCGGGGUGUAAAGAUCUGUCAGUAGGGACGAAACUUGACGGUACCUACAGAGGAAGCAUCGGCUAACUCCGUGCCAGCCGCGGC
This 473-nucleotide ribosomal RNA is filed under the name uncultured bacterium. RNAcentral's name for it is "bacterial SSU rRNA". It matches the Rfam family "Bacterial small subunit ribosomal RNA", at positions 26 to 518 of the family's 1533-position model. The record is from RNAcentral.